GGUCUCGAGAAGAAGCGUUAUUUCUGCAUUCCAAGAAGGACGGCACAAUGGUAUAUCACCCCGUGACGACCACAUCGAAGUCUGAAAUUGAAGUGUGAAGAUGCUUCAGCAACCCCUUCAUAUUUUUCCAUUGCUUUUAUUGUGCUUCUACUGUGCAUGUGAUGGCAAUGUAUGCCGGUGACACGGUCAGAUUUUGUCCAUGCGUGUACCGUACACCUGCAUGCUAUCGUUGAAAAGGAUCUGCCACUUACGAUCUUCGGACGAGUAUCAGGUCAGCUUGGUUUUGUGUGGGCUGUACCAGAUGCUGUUCACUUCUCUAUCUGUUGGAUAUGUGACUUUCUGCAAGUUUCUGGUGUAUGGUGGCCACUUCUUUGCUUGUCUUUGUAUGACAUUACAAUAAUUCUGUAUUCACUGCUUCCAUGGUGUGGUCUGCAAACUGCAAUCCUUAGGCAAAUAUCAUCACGCUGCAAUGUUGUGCUUUGGCCGCCAGCUUACCUACACAUUGUAGUUGAAUUAUUUUUGUUUCACAACUGACUUCCUGAAGUAUGGUGGCUACUGCUUUGCAUGGCAUUAUACAAUGUUCAUCAAGAA
This is a long non-coding RNA of Sycon ciliatum, 591 nucleotides long. RefSeq lists it as uncharacterized. The record is from RefSeq and is a predicted model, not a curated record. Lineage: Eukaryota; Metazoa; Porifera; Calcarea; Leucosolenida; Sycettidae. The transcript is spliced from 2 exons.